This is a non-coding RNA of Trichonephila clavata, 72 nucleotides long. NCBI's taxonomy places the organism in Eukaryota, Metazoa, Arthropoda, Arachnida, Araneae, Nephilidae. The record is from the annotation of a GenBank genome assembly.
GGCUGGAUGGCUUAGUUGGUUUAGCAUUGGCCUUGUACGCCCAAGUUUUCAGGUUCGAUCUGAUUUAAGUUG